UGAUUGCAUACAAUAAAGACUUGUGCUCCCAAGUUCCUGUGUCCCGGGUGUUCUGUUGAACAAAGAACUACUGCUCAAUGAGGCAGUGGCCAGAGACGUCUGAAGACCUGGGAUAAGGGAUAUAAAGGCAAAAAUGAAGCAACUUACUAAUGGCAUAGCGAGAAGAACACGAGUUCUGAAAUCCAAAGACCUGCCUUCAGAUCCCAGCUCUGAUGCAAAGUUCCUGAAUCUUAAAGAGAAUGACUUUCUCAUCAUUCCUUGGUUCCCUCAAG
RNAcentral lists this long non-coding RNA (272 nucleotides) under Sarcophilus harrisii (Tasmanian devil). Its description in RNAcentral is "lncRNA (ENSSHAG00000022289.1)". The record is from RNAcentral. Lineage: Eukaryota; Metazoa; Chordata; Mammalia; Dasyuromorphia; Dasyuridae.